Molecule: RNase MRP RNA, 329 nt
Filed under: Sarcoptes scabiei
Lineage: Eukaryota; Metazoa; Arthropoda; Arachnida; Sarcoptiformes; Sarcoptidae
Description: rNase MRP
Rfam family: RNase MRP
About the family: RNase MRP is an enzymatically active ribonucleoprotein with two distinct roles in eukaryotes. In mitochondria it plays a direct role in the initiation of mitochondrial DNA replication.
Source: Rfam by way of RNAcentral
AGUUGUUGGUAAAGACUCGCUUCGAAGAUCGUGAGAUGGCAUUUCGCUCAAAUCACGAAUUCUUCGUGGAAAGUCCUCGGUCAUUUCGGUGUUUCGGUAGCCAGAAGUACCCGAGCAAUCAUUGAAACUUCUCGUGAAGUCAAUCGAAUCGAAAGAUACAAGAGCUUUUGUCUGAGAUGGAUUAGAUUCCUGAGAUAGAAUGUUUCUCUUUUCUUCGAUUCUCUUGACUUUGAGGCAAAUAUUUGCGUUUGACUGAAAUCAUCCUACAGUAAUGCGAGUAACGCGGUCAGAAUACGCGUUAACCAAACGAGGCUUAUUCUGCCAAUAAC